Molecule: ribosomal RNA, 321 nt
Filed under: Triticum aestivum (bread wheat)
Lineage: Eukaryota; Viridiplantae; Streptophyta; Magnoliopsida; Poales; Poaceae
Description: partial small subunit ribosomal RNA
Source: RNAcentral
AUGGAGAAGGUUUUGCUGCGAAUGGGGUUUAGACCCAACUGGGUUGCACUGAUUAUGAAGUGUGUCAAAUCUGUUAGAGGACUCAGAAAGGGGGACCCGAUCUCACCAUAUUUAUUCUUGCUCUCUGCUGAGGGUCUCUCUAGUCUGAUUGUGCAUGAAGAGGAGACUGGUAAUUUGAUUAGAGUUCGGGUGUGCCGAGACGCCCCCUCAUUUACACACCUACUGUUCGCCGAUGACUCCCUGAUCCUUAUGAGGGCGGAUGCUGCUAAUGCGAAUAGUCUUAGGAGAGCAUUAGAUGACUAUUGUGUUGCCUCCGGGUAG